UUGGUGCUGACUAGACGCUGACAACGCCGAA
Molecule: non-coding RNA, 31 nt
Filed under: Homo sapiens (human)
Lineage: Eukaryota; Metazoa; Chordata; Mammalia; Primates; Hominidae
Source: RNAcentral